AAACUGAAGAGUUUGAUCCUGGCUCAGAUUGAACGCUAGCGGGAUGCCUUACACAUGCAAGUCGAACGGCAGCGCGGACUUCGGUCUGGCGGCGAGUGGCGAACGGGUGAGUAAUAUAUCGGAACGUACCCAGUAGCGGGGGAUAACUACUCGAAAGAGUAGCUAAUACCGCAUACGCCCUACGGGGGAAAGGGGGGGAUCGCAAGACCUCUCACUAUUGGAGCGGCCGAUAUCGGAUUAGCUAGUUGGUGAGGUAAAGGCUCACCAAGGCGACGAUCCGUAGCUGGUUUGAGAGGACGACCAGCCACACUGGGACUGAGACACGGCCCAGACUCCUACGGGAGGCAGCAGUGGGGAAUUUUGGACAAUGGGGGCAACCCUGAUCCAGCCAUUCCGCGUGUGCGAUGAAGGCCUUCGGGUUGUAAAGCACUUUUGGCAGGAAAGAAAU
RNAcentral lists this ribosomal RNA (448 nucleotides) under Burkholderiaceae bacterium. RNAcentral's name for it is "bacterial SSU rRNA". It matches the Rfam family "Bacterial small subunit ribosomal RNA", at positions 1 to 451 of the family's 1533-position model. The record is from RNAcentral. Lineage: Bacteria; Pseudomonadati; Pseudomonadota; Betaproteobacteria; Burkholderiales; Burkholderiaceae.